GUGUCAGCAGCCGCGGUAAUACGGAGGAUGCAAGCGUUAUCCGGAUUUAUUGGGUUUAAAGGGUGCGUAGGCGGGAUCAUAAGUCAGUGGUGAAACCCUGCAGCUUAACUGUAGACUUGCCAUUGAUACUGUGGUUCUUGAGUGUGGUCAAGGGAGGCGGAAUGUGUAAUGUAGCGGUGAAAUGCUUAGAUAUUACACAGAACACCAAUUGCGAAGGCAGCUUUCUGGGCCAUUACUGACGCUGAUGCACGAAAGCGUGGGGAGCGAACAGGAUUAGAUACCCUGGUAGUCCACGCCGUAAACGAUGAUCACUAGCUGUUGGCGAUAUACUGUCAGCGGCAAAGCAAAAGCAUUAAGUGAUCCACCUGGGGAGUACGGCCGCAAGGCUGAAACUCAAAUGAAUUGACGGGG
RNAcentral lists this ribosomal RNA (411 nucleotides) under uncultured prokaryote. RNAcentral describes it as "bacterial SSU rRNA". It matches the Rfam family "Bacterial small subunit ribosomal RNA", at positions 505 to 918 of the family's 1533-position model. The record is from RNAcentral.